RNAcentral lists this long non-coding RNA (2530 nucleotides) under Homo sapiens (human). Lineage: Eukaryota; Metazoa; Chordata; Mammalia; Primates; Hominidae. The record is from RNAcentral.
UUUGUAGUUCUCCUUCAAGAGGUCCUUCACAUCCCUUGUAAGUUGGAUUCCUAGGUAUUUUAUUCUCUUUGAAGUGAUUGUAUACACAUAAACUUAUGGACACAUGAGUGAUAGUCAAAUUUCAAUCACUAAUGUGGCAUGAGCACUGACCCACCAGAAUGGCCAUGGUAAUUCACCAUGGAGCAGUAUUGCAUCAUCCUGAGUGAGAGUGAAGAAGAAUUGAGGUAGAGGGAAACUGAUAGAUGUGUUUGAGAUUUUAAAAUUAUUUCUCAAACUUUUACACCAAAAUAUAUCCUGGUACAUGUGCAACUUCUAUGGCUCUGUCAGACUCAUUUAAUAGGAAACUACCCACAGAAGAAAAUAAGGAAAACGAAUUCUGUAGGUAGAGAAAUGUAAUGACUAAGAUUUUAAAUGUUAUGACUAAGAUACAUGUUUAGUUGAUAAAAAUUAAUAAAAAUAAGAAACUUUCCUUCCUAGGGCAGCAUAAGAUCAUUUCAGAAUGAAGAUGCUUUGGGAUCUGACUUCGGACUGUAAGAAUGACAAACUCUGAAUGGGUGCAAAGGUAGCAGAUGACCUUCAAAGGAUGGUGAGAUUAAAUUUACCUACACCUAGAGAAAUAAUUGGAGCACAUGUCUAUUUGGGCCAAGAGGAUAAAGGCCAGUAGAGGAAUCAGAUCAAAGAACUUCCUCAGGGAAGUGUGCAGAGAACUGGAGUGGACCUUCCCCUAGGAAGCUGCCCAAAACGAGAGUGCUGGAAAGCUGGCCGCAGUGAGGCACUUCAGAUCCCAAGGGUAUGCUGGGGAAGCUGCCACAGGUGGGAGCACUUGCUGCUGGACCCUAGGCACUGUUGAAACAACUGCACCAUCUGCAGGAGCCCAGCAAGAAAGAACUUGUUUGCAUCCCUGCUAGACAAAAACCUACAAGUUAACCUUUGCCCGUAUGGAGUUGUAAAACAGACCAGUUGAUAGAAAGAGAAGCCUGCUUCCCGAAGCCCUCAGCAGAAGCCGAGCAGAUGUUGGCACCAUGCUUCUUGUACAGCCUGCAGAACUUGAAGAAACACUCCAUAUUAGUUUUCUGGAGCCAUCGUUAUGAAGCAACACAGACUGGGUGGCAUAAACAAUGGAGAUUUAUUUUUUCACAAUUCCGGAGGCUAGAAGUUUGAGAUCAAGGUGUUGGAAAGUGUCUCAGGAUGAUACAUACCGGUUUUUAACUUUGGUGUCAUCAAAUGCAAUUGCAAUGUGACUGUUUCUUGAAAGCCCGAACUGCUUGCUCCCUAUCAAAAGAGCUGGUUCUGAUUCUGCAGCACAAGGACCCUGUAAAAUACCCAGGAGAGAAAAACAGGAGAUUAUGGACUGUUCUUUAAAAAGUGCAAGGAGCACAUUGCUCAACCAAUUCCAUCGUGGACACUAAGGAAGAGAAUGAGAUAUUCAAGAGUUUUCAAGAUCUGCACUCAAGACAACAUUGCCCACCCAUUACUGGUAUGGAAUAUAACCACAACACAUGAGCUGUAAAGAGUGUAGUGACUGUGACCAUCUUUGUUGUAUUGGUGAUAAGAAUGUAAAUUGGCAUAGCCUGUGGAAGAAACAAUUCAGGUAUGUGUAUUGAAAACCUUAGACAUAUUCAUCUUUUGGCCUUAUAAUUUCCUAACUACUUAUCUAUUUUAAGAAUAACUGGAAAUAAUGAAAAAGCUUGAUGCAUAGAGGAGCUCAUCAGAGUAUAGUUUCUAAUAGUGAAAAACUGGAAACACUCUCAAUAGCCUACCAUGGUCUAUUAAAAGUAGAAUAAAUUGGAAAGGCAGAGUGUUCCAGAGAUAAGGAGUCAGACUUUGGAGUCUGACUCGCUAGAAUAAAAUUCUUACUCUGCCUUUUACUAGUGGUGUGAGUGGGUUGGUUGCUUAAGAUAGCUAAUUCUUAUUAACUCGACUAAAAGUAGAAAGACUAUAUUUUACAGAGCCGUUAUGAGAAUUACAUAUAAUAUUGAAUGAAAAUUGUUUAGCCCUGGGCUGGUGAAAGUACUCAUUAUUAUCAUUACUACAUAGUACUUAUGCCAUUUAUUAAACGUUCAGUAUAUGUGAGUCAUUGAACAAACAUUAUCUUUUAAAACUCUGAUACAAAGUCUUUGAUGUCUGUGCUGUUAAUAUCCUCAUUUGACAGAUGAGGAAACAGAAAUAGUCUAUGGCCAAAUCACCCUGAAAGCAUCCGAUCUUUUCUGAUCUCAAAAGCUAAGCAGGGUUGGGCCCGGUUAGUACUUGGAUGGGAAACUGAGAAAUAGAUUGGACAGGUAGCUUUCCCAAAUUCACACAGAUGGUCGGUUACAGUGCUGGGAUUUGAAUACCAGCAGUCUGACUUGAGCCCAUGCUCUAAUCAAGGCUAUAUGACCUCCAAUACUAUAAAAUAGUUGUGUGUCUCUGUGUGUAUAUAUACUUAACAUAAAAUCAUAUUAGACAUACACAUUUAUAUGAUGUUUAGAUACAGUUUUUAUUUAUUUAUUUAUUUUUAUUUUUUGGAGAUGGAGUCUCGCUCUGUUGCCCA